This is a long non-coding RNA of Syngnathoides biaculeatus (alligator pipefish), 744 nucleotides long. RefSeq lists it as uncharacterized. The record is from RefSeq and is a predicted model, not a curated record. NCBI's taxonomy places the organism in Eukaryota, Metazoa, Chordata, Actinopteri, Syngnathiformes, Syngnathidae. The transcript is spliced from 5 exons.
GAACAGAACAGGUUUGAAGUUGAUUCUGUUUAUUCCACAUAUUGCGGAUACGUACACAGAAUUUAAGAUUUUGGACUGAGCGGGACGCGAUGUCGGAGUUGCUGCGAAAUGUUGGUGGUGGAUACAAAAAAAGUUUUGACGCCUCACAAACUUCAUAUUGAAAGUUAAAAGGAUUAAAUAGUGGACUCGUACUGCGCAUGUGAAGCAGGGAGGUGAAUGGAGGACCCCAGCAGUCUCUGGAGCUCGGGAACGCACCGCACCAAGUGCACCAGCCCCUCGUCCUCGUCCUCCUCCUCCUCCCCGUCCUCGUCUUUGUCCCUGCCGGCGGAAUCCAGGGGCGAGCCCACCUGGCUGACGUGGACCUGCCGGGCCAGCUCGGCGCGGGGCAGGCCGGCCACCUCCAGGGUUGCGGGAAAGAUGGAGCCUAUCCCAGCGAGCUCUGUCUGGGCGAAAGGUGGGCUACACCCCGAGCUGGUGGCCAGUCAGUCGCAGGGCAGAUAUCGACACCACCACUGAGCGGGAAUCGACCCCAUGCCUCCCCCACCUAAAGGCAGGCAUCUGUACCACUACACCAUCAGUGACUCCUGUCGACUUGAACCGGGAAAAAAAAGCGCCCGCGACGACGACUCCGCAGGCCUCGACUCGACUCGACUCUCUCCAACCGCCGAACGGCCGCGUUCUCCCGUUUCCUCGACGCCAAGGCGGAACUCACCAAACAAGGAGCUGCUGUAGAAGUCCCAGUGC